Lotus japonicus is the source of this 1353-nucleotide long non-coding RNA. RefSeq lists it as uncharacterized. The record is from RefSeq and is a predicted model, not a curated record. The transcript is spliced from 3 exons. NCBI's taxonomy places the organism in Eukaryota, Viridiplantae, Streptophyta, Magnoliopsida, Fabales, Fabaceae.
CCUCCUCUGUCUUUUUUUCUAUUACCUUAAAGUUAAAAAUGAAUGACUCAUACCAUUAAUGGUGUUAUUAGAAUUUUCUGGUUCAGGUACUAUCUUCCCAGUUUACAGGUAUGCUACAUCAGUUUUGGGUUAUUUGCUCAAAAUACUUAUUUGCCUCACAUAUUGAUUCUAUUAGGUAAAGAAAAUCAGCAUUGGCUUCUCUGCAGUCUGUGAACACCCAGAGCAGAGAAAAAAUGUUCAUCAUUUUUUAACCGAGUAGAGGAGGAACUUGGCACUAUUAGUGAUGCUGAGUCAACAAAAAAGGUUUCAUAAGCUAUGCAGAUUGGAGCGCGAGCAAUUAAAGAAGUAAGAUCAGUGUGGAAGAUGUUGAUCUAUGAUUAAGAGAUCUCGAAGAGAGUAUUGGUUCACAGAAGGAAGUUUAAAAGGCGCUAGGUAUAUUUCGUCAAAUAUUUUAUACCACAUAUUUGAAUUGUGCUUUUGCAUUUUUUAUGCUGAAAUGAAUUGUUUGUGAUACUAACUUGAGGGAAUUUCAAGAUCGUCAGGAUGUUUGUAUCUCUGAUGUCAACAAUUAAGAUUUUGAUUUCUUAAGCAUGUUGCCUUGUGUCUUUAGAGCAAACUCCACCACACACAGAUAUGGAUGAAGAAGAUGUUGAAGAGGAAUUCAAUAUACCCUGUAGUAUUUAUAGAUGUAGCUCCUGUGAAGAACAAAUAUACCUUGUACGUAUUUAUUUUAAAAACAUUGAAAACUUACAUUCUCUCCUCCUGCAACCUUUUUCUUCUUUUUCAUUUACCAUUAAAAACCAACAGGGUUUUAUUCCAUGUGAUGAAGGUCCACCUUAAGUUAAAUAUGUUCUGUCAAUUGUGGUAGUGGUUUGCAAUUUUACGGUGGCCUCAAAAGCUAAAAAUAAUUCUAUUAAAACUUCAUGAGGUAGACUUUAAUUACAGAGCAAUUGGUUCUUAUAUUAAUUAAGGUGGUGUUUAGUUUUCCCAAAUAAAUCAGUUCAAUAGCCAAACCUGCAUAUUGUCAUUCACAGAUUGAGUUGUCAUUUAUAAAGUAUAAAUUGAAUAACAUUUAUGUUAUUACUUUUUAAAAUUUGUUUAUUUAAUAUUUUAUACUUCACUAUUAUCCUGGGUGUGAGGCAUAUCCUUAGAGAUCAGCCACAAAUGCUAUGGACUGCUAUUGACAUGCCUGGAGAAUGAGUCAGGGUUUUAUUGGAUGGGUUUGCAAAAUAGUAGUAUUGUUUUUUCAUGGUGGGGUUGGAGGAGUGUGUUUUAUGCUCCUUUGCACAGAUCCGAUGCAAUGGUGUAUGGGAGUUUUACAGGCAUGGGGACACAGGCUGUAAAACAACAUUU